Molecule: ribosomal RNA, 433 nt
Filed under: uncultured bacterium
Lineage: Bacteria
Description: bacterial SSU rRNA
Rfam family: Bacterial small subunit ribosomal RNA
Source: RNAcentral
ACGAACGCUGGCGGCAGGCUUAACACAUGCAAGUCGAACGAAGGCUUCGGCCUUAGUGGCGCACGGGUGAGUAACACGUGGGAAUAUACCUCUCAGUGGGGGAUAACGUCGGGAAACUGACGCUAAUACCGCAUACGCCCUUCGGGGGAAAGAUUUAUCGCUGAGAGAUUAGCCCGCGUCCGAUUAGCUAGUUGGUAAGGUAAUGGCUUACCAAGGCUACGAUCGGUAGCUGGUCUGAGAGGAUGAUCAGCCACACUGGGACUGAGACACGGCCCAGACUCCUACGGGAGGCAGCAGUGGGGAAUAUUGGACAAUGGGGGCAACCCUGAUCCAGCCAUGCCGCGUGAGUGAUGAAGGCCUUAGGGGUGUAAAGUCCUUUCAGCAGGGACGAGCAGAAGACGGUACCUGCAGAAGAAGCAUCGGCUAACUACGU